RNAcentral lists this ribosomal RNA (253 nucleotides) under uncultured bacterium. Its description in RNAcentral is "partial 16S ribosomal RNA". It matches the Rfam family "Bacterial small subunit ribosomal RNA", at positions 524 to 776 of the family's 1533-position model. The record is from RNAcentral.
UACGUAGGGGGCAAGCGUUGUCCGGAUUUAUUGGGCGUAAAGAGCGUGUAGGCGGCCAUGCAGGUCCGUUGUGAAAACUCGAGGCUCAACCUCGAGACGCCGAUGGAAACCGCAUGGCUAGAGUCCGGAAGAGGAGAGUGGAACUCCUGGUGUAGCGGUGGAAUGCGCAGAUAUCAGGAAGAACACCAACGGCGAAGGCAGCUCGCUGGGGCGGUACUGACGCUGAGACGCGAAAGCGUGGGGAGCGAACAGG